GGGAAUGUGGCUUAGUGGUAGAGUGCUUGCCUAGCAUGCAAGAAAAAGCCGUAAGUUCUAUUUCUCAGUACCA
This 73-nucleotide transfer RNA is filed under the name Dipodomys ordii (Ord's kangaroo rat). It matches the Rfam family "tRNA". From Rfam's summary of the family: Transfer RNA (tRNA) molecules are approximately 80 nucleotides in length. Lineage: Eukaryota; Metazoa; Chordata; Mammalia; Rodentia; Heteromyidae. The record is from Rfam by way of RNAcentral.